AUGGCUUAUGUUUCUCUCUCUUCAUUAUCCUCUCUUCUACGUCUUCUAUCUUUCUCCACUUCCUCUUCUUCUUCUUCUAUACAACCUCAUAAAAAAAAUUCUUUUACACCUUUCCACACACAUUUUAUAAAAAAUGCUGUCUUUUAAAAUGCAACAUUUCUUCUAUUCGUUUUUUUAACAUUAUUUUGUUUGCAUUUUACUAAUAAUUUUGGUGCUAAUUUUUGCAGAUCUUGACUAUAAUGAGAUGAAACAAAAAACUUUCUGAUCUGAAAUGAGACUGUGUAAAAUUGAAACGGCUUCCAACGGAUCUGAAAUCGAAACCACGGGUCGGGAACAUCGGAUCUGAAAUUGAAAUCACUGGAUCUGAUAUCAAAACCACCAGAUUUGAAAUCAACUCUCAUCUUCUUCAUACUUACAAGGAUUGUGAAAUGGAACAAUGGAAGAAGGGUAUCAAAAUUCAAGAGAUCUAAACUACAAUGAGAUUCAACAAAAAAUUUCAAAUUUGAAAUUAAAGGAAGGACACAUGUUUUAUUUUUAUAUUGAAAACUCUUCCUACUUCACAUGAGAGAAUAGAGCAAAUUUUUUCUACUGGCCAAUGAAAUGGGUAGAUGGAUGGAAUGAGAUGCAGAAUGAAAAUGUUUUGAGCUUGAUGUUCUAACACUAUCCAACUUGUGUUUUGGCAUAUAAUUUCCUCAUUGAUAUAUUCCUUUAAUAUAUUUCAAAAUAUUAAAUUUAUAUUAGCACUUCUACCAUUCCUGUAAAAAAUACUUCAAUAGCAUUUAAUUAUUAUUAUUAGCUUUA
Molecule: long non-coding RNA, 801 nt
Organism: Vicia villosa (hairy vetch)
Lineage: Eukaryota; Viridiplantae; Streptophyta; Magnoliopsida; Fabales; Fabaceae
Exons: 4
Source: RefSeq, a predicted model, not a curated record